Molecule: ribosomal RNA, 256 nt
Filed under: uncultured bacterium
Lineage: Bacteria
Description: partial 16S ribosomal RNA
Rfam family: Bacterial small subunit ribosomal RNA
Source: RNAcentral
UACGAAGGGGGCUAGCGUUGUUCGGAUUCAUUGGGCGUAAAGGGUGCGUAGGUGGCGGGGUAAGUCAGGUGUGAAAUUUCGGAGCUUAACUCCGAAACUGCAUUUGAUACUGCCUUGCUUGAGGACUGGAGAGGAGACUGGAAUUCACGGUGUAGCAGUGAAAUGCGUAGAUAUCGUGAGGAAGACCAGUGGCGAAGGCGGGGUCUCUGGACAGUUUCCUGACACUGAGGCACGAAGGCCAGGGGAGCAAACGGGG